Molecule: ribosomal RNA, 496 nt
Filed under: uncultured bacterium
Lineage: Bacteria
Description: partial 16S ribosomal RNA
Rfam family: Bacterial small subunit ribosomal RNA
Source: RNAcentral
AUGAACGCUGGCGGCGUGCCUAAUACAUGCAAGUCGAGCGAACAGAUGAGGAGCUUGCUCCUCUGACGUUAGCGGCGGACGGGUGAGUAACACGUGGAUAACCUACCUAUAAGACUGGGAUAACUUCGGGAAACCGGAGCUAAUACCGGAUAAUAUAUUGAACCGCAUGGUUCAAUAGUGAAAGACGGUUUUGCUGUCACUUAUAGAUGGAUCCGCGCCGCAUUAGCUAGUUGGUAAGGUAACGGCUUACCAAGGCAACGAUGCGUAGCCGACCUGAGAGGGUGAUCGGCCACACUGGAACUGAGACACGGUCCAGACGCCUACGGGAGGCAGCAGUAGGGAAUCUUCCGCAAUGGGCGAAAGCCUGACGGAGCAACGCCGCGUGAGUGAUGAAGGUCUUCGGAUCGUAAAACUCUGUUAUUAGGGAAGAACAAAUGUGUAAGUAACUAUGCACGUCUUGACGGUACCUAAUCAGAAAGCCACGGCUAACUACGUG